This 305-nucleotide ribosomal RNA is filed under the name uncultured bacterium. RNAcentral's name for it is "bacterial SSU rRNA". It matches the Rfam family "Bacterial small subunit ribosomal RNA", at positions 335 to 657 of the family's 1533-position model. The record is from RNAcentral.
GUUCCUACGGGGCGCAGCAGUGGGGAAUAUUGCACAAUGGGGGAAACCCUGAUGCAGCGACGCCGCGUGAGUGAAGAAGUAUUGCGGUAUGUAAAGCUCUAUCAGCAGGGAAGAUAAUGACGGUACCUGAGUAAGAAGCCCCGGCUAACUACGUGCCAGCAGCCGCGGUAAUACGUAGGGGGCAAGCGUUGUCCGGAAUUACUGGGCGUAAAGGGCGCGUAGGUGGGCGCUUAAGUCAGGUGUGAAAACUCCGGGCUCAACCUGGAGACUGCACUUGAAACUGGGUGUCUUGAGGGCAGGAGAGG